Molecule: ribosomal RNA, 460 nt
Filed under: uncultured bacterium
Lineage: Bacteria
Description: partial 16S ribosomal RNA
Rfam family: Bacterial small subunit ribosomal RNA
Source: RNAcentral
CCUACGGGUGGCAGCAGUGAGGAAUAUUGGUCAAUGGGCGCGAGCCUGAACCAGCCAAGUAGCGUGAAGGAUGACUGCCCUACGGGUUGUAAACUUCUUUUAUAAAGGAAUAAAGUCAGGCACGUGUGCCUUUUUGUAUGUACUUUAUUAAUAAGGAUCGGCUAACUCCGUGCCAGCAGCCGCGGUAAUACGGAGGAUUCGAGCGUUAUCCGGAUUUAUUGGGUUUAAAGGGCGUGUAGAUGGGUUGUUAAGUCAGUUGUGAAUGUUUGCGGCUCAACCGUAAAAUUGCAAUUGAUACUGGCAGCCUUGAGUACAGUUGAGGUAGGCGGAAUUCGUGGUGUAGCGGUGAAAUGCUUAGAUAUCACGAAGAACUCCGAUUGCGAAGGCAGACUACUAAACUGCCACUGACAUUGAUGCUCGAAAGUGUGGGUAUCAAACAGGAUUAGAUACCCCUGUAGUC